UGUCUAGGGAUGAGAGAAUCGAACUCACAGUGUUCCGCUUACCGGGCAGAUGCCAUGUCCGCUAGGCUGCCCUGGAC
RNAcentral lists this transfer RNA (77 nucleotides) under Cordylochernes scorpioides. RNAcentral's name for it is "tRNA-Thr". Lineage: Eukaryota; Metazoa; Arthropoda; Arachnida; Pseudoscorpiones; Chernetidae. The record is from RNAcentral.